UUAGAGGUAUUUUCAGUACUCUGGCUUAAGAGCCAAUGAUGUUUUUAUUCAAAAUGUCUGAACCUGUCUGAAGCAUCCCAGUGAUGCAACUUCUGUGUGAUACUGAGGCUUUUUUGCCAUGAGUAUUUGUUCCAUAGCAGGUUUUGAAUAGAAGUUGGCAGCUUUAUAAAAAGGGUAUUAGGGUGGGUGCAGUGGUGCAGUGGUUCACACCUGUAAUCCCAA
Small nucleolar RNA from Homo sapiens (human), 222 nucleotides. Ensembl annotates it as small nucleolar RNA, C/D box 91B. Its record names the gene SNORD91B. The record is from Ensembl. Lineage: Eukaryota; Metazoa; Chordata; Mammalia; Primates; Hominidae.